This 901-nucleotide long non-coding RNA is filed under the name Cyanistes caeruleus (blue tit). RNAcentral describes it as "lncRNA (ENSCCEG00000013195.1)". The record is from RNAcentral. Lineage: Eukaryota; Metazoa; Chordata; Aves; Passeriformes; Paridae.
UAUUCUUUUCCAAAUGAAAGAUUGGCAGCUAGAGAAUAUUGCCUGAACUUGAAAGAGUACACAGAUUACAUGUACACACAUUUCAUGGCCUAGGUAAAAUCUUGAUUAUAUUGCUAUCUUAUCCACUUUAUUCACUAUGCCUGUAUCAGUGGCAUGCAUGCUGUGAGAAAAAAAAAAAUCUCCACAGACUAGAACUGUGACCUGUUACAAGGAAUAGAUUGUUUUCUGGGUUUUUGAGAUGAAAUAUUUUGAGGAAAUUCUAUAACAUUAUUGACUGACCUUCUGUAGGACUACUGAAAAAUAUACUGCAAGAUCAAAACAACUUAAUUUUUAUAUUGAUUGAAGCUUUUAAUUCUUCAGAAUAAUUUGUCCUUUUAUAGUGAGUUGUGCUUUUCUUCUUGUCAGGGGUUUCAUAGGUUUACUAGUAAUGGUUGAAAAAAGUGUACAAAAAACCCUCAUAAAGUUGCAGCAAUUAUUUACAACAUAAAAUCUUCAGUGACUAUUUACAAAGCCUUCAGUUGUUCAAAUGUACACAUAGUGUAUUAUUUAUUAUUUCUUGUUGUUUCUAUUGUUGCUGCUCUGAGUGAUCAACCAUCCUCCUUACUACCACCUGACGGGCACAGCUGGAGGGUCCCUGAGAGCCUGGGGGCGUGUGGAGGGAGGCUGGAGGCCUGGGACUCCCGGUGGAGCAGGGGCAGCUCUGCGCACAGGCCUGUGGCUGCAGUCCGGGCUCGGUGAAAGCCAAGGUGCAGCGUGCAGGGAGGGCAAGUCCAUGGCUGCCCGGCUCAGAACCAUGCACCAACACAAGGAGCCCUCACUCCUGGCUAUGGGGCUGGGACUUGGACCUGGAGGGGUCCUAUGGUCCUCUGCAGACCUGACCCUGUCAUCCUCAGAGGUUUGA